This 317-nucleotide signal recognition particle RNA is filed under the name Aotus nancymaae (Ma's night monkey). RNAcentral describes it as "Metazoan signal recognition particle RNA (ENSANAG00000001466.1)". It matches the Rfam family "Metazoan signal recognition particle RNA". From Rfam's summary of the family: The signal recognition particle (SRP) is a universally conserved ribonucleoprotein. The record is from RNAcentral. Lineage: Eukaryota; Metazoa; Chordata; Mammalia; Primates; Aotidae.
GCCGGGUGUGGCGGUGCAUGCCUGUAGUCCCAGCUACUCAGGAGGCUGAGGCUAGAGGAUCGCUUGAGUCCAGGAGAUCUGGGCUGUAGCGUGCUAUGCCAAUCAGGUGUCCGCACUAAGUUUGGCAUCAAUAUGGUGACCUCCCGGGAGCAGGUGACCUCCCGGGAGCAGGGGACCACCAGGUUGCCUAAGGAGGGGUGAACCAGCCCAGGUUGGGAACAGAGCAGGUCAAAACUCCCAUGCUGAUCAGUAGUGGGAUCGCGCCUGUGAAUAGCCACUGCACUCCAGCCUGGGCAACGUAGCAAGACCCUGUCUCU